RNAcentral lists this ribosomal RNA (405 nucleotides) under uncultured bacterium. RNAcentral describes it as "partial 16S ribosomal RNA". It matches the Rfam family "Bacterial small subunit ribosomal RNA", at positions 30 to 526 of the family's 1533-position model. The record is from RNAcentral.
AUUGAACGCUAGCGGGAGGCUUUACACAUGCAAGUCGAACGAGUGGCGGACGGGUGAGUAAUAUGUGAGAACGUGCCCAGUAGGGGGGGAUAACUUGGCGAAAGAGGGGCAAAUACCGCAAAAUCGGGGAUGGGCCGAUAUCGGAUGAGCUAGUUGGUGGGGUAAAGGCUCACCAAGGCAACGAUCCGUAGCUGGUUUGAGAGGACGACCAGCCACACUGGGACUGAGACACGGUCCAGACUCCUACGGGAGGCAGCAGUGGGGAAUAUUGGACAAUGGGGGAAACCCUGAUGCAGCCAUGCCGCGUGUAUGAGAAGGCCUUCGGGUUGUAAAGUACUUUUAGCAGAGAAGCGGUAUCUGCAGAAUAAGCACCGGCUAACUCCGUGCCAGCAGCCGCGGUAAUUC